This is an RNA transcript of Eucalyptus grandis, 1931 nucleotides long. RefSeq lists it as hypothetical. The record is from RefSeq and is a predicted model, not a curated record. The transcript has 8 exons. Lineage: Eukaryota; Viridiplantae; Streptophyta; Magnoliopsida; Myrtales; Myrtaceae.
CGCCCUCCGCCUCCGCCUCUGCCCCCGACGCCGUCGCCGACGCCCUUUUGACCUCCCUCUCGCGACCUCUGCUCCGCUCUCUCCCUCUUUCCUCUGCGGAGCGCCCUUGCUGGCCAACCCCGACGCCGACGAACCCCUUCUCGCGUUUUGGCCUCCCGCCUUGAAGGGGACUCUUAAUGUUUUGAAGUCGUGUUCCAAAGCACCUUCUGUCAAGCGUGUGGUCUUAAUAUCAUCUAUGCUUGCAGUUGCGUUCACUGGACAACCAUUGACAGUUGAUGUUGCAGUUGAUGAAAAUUGGUUUUCUGAUCCAGAGUUCUGCAGGAAAAGAAACAAGUUAUCAUAAUGUCGUCAAUUUGGAAGUGGCUUUCUGUUUCGUCAAGAGUGCUUUAUCUCCCUCUCUUUUUCUUCCAACGGUUGUGGCUUGGUGAUUGGUCCUCUUUUACAGCCAACACUGAACACGAGUGCUGCAGCAAUUGCAAAUUUGGUAAAUGGACGCUUCUGCCUCUGCCUUCGCCCCUGACGCCAAUGCCGACGCCGACGCCCCUUCGCCUCCCUCUCGCAACCUCCACCUUCAUCCGUGUCUGUUCUGACAGUAUUAUUGCUUACUGAUGUGGAGGGAGGAGCUCCUGUUUUACUAUGUUGCAGAUGAGGAGCAGAAAGGACCCGUGAAUCCUUAUGAUGGCAAAGUGUAUGUUCGAUGGGAUGCCAUGUCAAAUAAAAUUCGUUGAGUGCCUUUCCUCCUCAGUCUGUGCGAUUAAAGAGACCAUUUGCAGUUCAAUCAUGGACCAAUUCAGAGGAGAACAUUGGGAAUCUUCUCAUGGUAUGAGAUAGAUAUGCUGGCAUUUACUGGCUGCAGUCACAAUUUGACAGCUGAGGAGGAUGAUGAACUACGGUUGAUGAGAUAUGAAGUAAGUCAUCGGAAGGAGAAAGAGAUUAAUGGAACAGAGAGGAGGUUACUUGGCGGCUGUCCAUUGACUCCUAGGGAGACUUCACUUCUGCUAAAGGCUCUUGGAUUCUCAUCUACUACCCGCAUUUAUUUGGUGACUGGUGAUGCUUAUGGAAAAGGAAGUAUGCAAUAUCUGAGGGACGAGUACCCCAACAUAUAUUCACAUUCUACUCUAGCAACAGAAGAAGAGCUUGCUCCUUUCAAGAAUCAUCAAAACAUGCUUGCCGUUAUAGAUUGCAUUGUCGCUUUUCAGAGCAAUGUGUUUCUUUAUACUUAUGAUAGGAAUAUGGUGAAAGCAGUUCAAGGCCAUAGGUGGUUCGAGAAUUUCAAGAAGACAAUUAAUCCAGAAAAAAUGAAUUUUGUUAAACUGGUUGAUGAACUAGAUGCGGGGAAGAUUUCUUGGAAGAAAUUCCGUUCCAAAGUGAAGAAACUUCACAGAGAUCGAAUAGGAGCUCCGUAUUUGAGGGAGUUUGGGGAAUUCCCAAAACUAGAGGAAAGUUUUUAUGCAAAUCCGCUCCCUGGGUGCAUUUGCGAAUCAACAAAGAGAAGGAAGUAAGGCUAAAAGGAGAAGUGUCUCCUUUCUCCGUGAUGCAAUUUUGGGUGCAUAAGAGAGAUGAACGCAUGUUGUCAAGGUCCAAUAAAUCUUGUCAGCCGAAGAAUGCCACAACUAAAUCAGAAAGUUCCUUGGCCUAGUGCUCAGGCUGGCCGGUAUUACAUUAGCGUCACUGAGCUGCUGAAUUUAAGGCCGCUCAAGGGAUUCUGGUGAAUAAUUUAUUCAGAAGAAAAUUUAUAGAAUACCAUUGAAAGAAAGAUUAUGAGCCCAUGGUGCUAAAAAAAAAAGAAACAAAAUGAUAGGAGACUUUUCUGUUUAGGGGAUUGGAGAAAUCCCAUGAAGUUAAAUUAUAGUAAAUUCGAUUGUGUGGCACAGAAGACCUUGUAAUACUUCAAAUUACACAGAAUGAAAGAUGUCCCUUCUUUAUCUUUA